Molecule: ribosomal RNA, 1493 nt
Filed under: metagenome
Description: bacterial LSU rRNA
Rfam family: Bacterial large subunit ribosomal RNA
Source: RNAcentral
AGUCGUAGCCGAUGGACAACAGGUGGAGAUUCCUGUACUAUGAUAUGACAGAACUGUGGGGACACGUGCAGAGAGCGGAAGCCGGGAAUGGGAUCCCGGUGCAAGCGAGGUACCAGCCGCGUUGGAAAAACCGUGCGGCAAUGGGAAGACGUGAUGCGGAGUGAAGUUUAGUAAUGAAGUCCGUGAGCUGUGCGUCAAGAAAAGCCGCUAUUGUUCAUACCAUACCCGUACCGUAAACCGACACAGGUGGAUGAGGAGAGAAUCCUAAGGCCGGCGGAAGAAGCAUUGUCAAGGAACUCGGCAAAAUGACCCCGUAACUUCGGGAGAAGGGGUGCCUGCGAGAGCAGGCCGCAGAGAAUAGGCUCAAGCAACUGUUUAGCAAAAACACAGGUCUAUGCGAAACCGAAAGGUGAGGUAUAUGGGCUGACGCCUGCCCGGUGCUGGAAGGUUAAGAGGAGAGGUUAGCGCAAGCGAAGCUUUGAAUUUAAGCCCCAGUAAACGGCGGCCGUAACAAUAACGGUCCUAAGGUAGCGAAAUUCCUUGUCGGGUAAGUUCCGACCCGCACGAAAGGCGUAAUGAUUUGAGCGCUGUCUCGACAAUGCAUCCGGUGAAAUUGAAGUACCAGUGAAGAUGCUGGUUACCUGCGCCAGGACGGAAAGACCCCAUGGAGCUUUACUCCAGUUUGGUACUGGGAUCCGGUACUGCAUGUACAGGAUAGGUGGGAGGCUGAGAAUCGGUAACGCCAGUUGCCGAGGAGCCGCUGUUGGGAUACCACCCUUGCAGUAUUGGGUUUCUAACCAGCCGCCGUGACCCGGCGGUGGGACAAUGCCAGACGGGGAGUUUGACUGGGGCGGUCGCCUCCGAAAGGGUAACGGAGGCGCCCAAAGGUUCCCUCAGGAUGGACGGAAACCAUCCAAAGAGUGCAAAGGCAGAAGGGAGCUUGACUGCGACACCGACGGGUGGAGCAGGUACGAAAGUAGGGCUUAGUGAUCCGGUGGUAUUAAGUGGGAAUGCCAUCGCUCAACGGAUAAAAGCUACCCUGGGAUAACAGGCUUAUCACUCCCAAGAGUUCACAUCGACGGAGUGGUUUGGCACCUCGAUGUCGGCUCAUCGCAUCCUGGGGCUGUAGUAGGUCCCAAGGGUUGGGCUGUUCGCCCAUUAAAGCGGUACGCGAGCUGGGUUCAGAACGUCGUGAGACAGUUCGGUCCCUAUCCGGCGUGGGCGUAGGAUAUCUGAGAGGAGCUGCCCUUAGUACGAGAGGACCGGGAUGGACGGGCCGCUGGUGCACCGGUUAGACUGCCAAGUCUAUAGCCGGGUAGCCAAGCCCGGAAGGGAUAAACGCUGAAGGCAUCUAAGCGUGAAGCCCCCCUCAAGAUGAGAUAUCCCAUCCGAAAGGAGUAAACCCCCUUGAAGACGACGAGGUCGAUAGGGCAGAGGUGGAAGUGUGGUAACACAUGGAGCUGACUGCUACUAAUAGGGUGAGGGCUUGACCU